GCACGGAUUGAGUGUGGAACUGAGUUCCACAGA
RNAcentral lists this small RNA (33 nucleotides) under Bombyx mori (domestic silkworm). RNAcentral's name for it is "ovarian small RNA-16385". The record is from RNAcentral. Lineage: Eukaryota; Metazoa; Arthropoda; Insecta; Lepidoptera; Bombycidae.